RNAcentral lists this ribosomal RNA (252 nucleotides) under uncultured bacterium. RNAcentral describes it as "partial 16S ribosomal RNA". It matches the Rfam family "Bacterial small subunit ribosomal RNA", at positions 526 to 779 of the family's 1533-position model. The record is from RNAcentral.
CAGAGGGUGCAAGCGUUAAUCGGAAUUACUGGGCGUAAAGCGCGCGUAGGUGGUUGUUAAGUUGAAUGUGAAAUCCCCGGGCUCAACCUGGGAACUGCAUCCAAAACUGGCAAGCUAGAGUAUGGUAGAGGGUGGUGGAAUUUCCUGUGUAGCGGUGAAAUGCGUAGAUAUAGGAAGGAACACCAGUGGCGAAGGCGACCACCUGGACUGAUACUGACACUGAGGUGCGAAAGCGUGGGAGCAAACAGGAUU